UACGUAGGGGGCAAGCGUUGUCCGGAAUCAUUGGGCGUAAAGAGCGUGUAGGCGGCUCGAUAAGUCCGCUGUGAAAGUCGAGGGCUCAACCCUCGAAUGCCGGCGGAUACUGUCGGGCUAGAGUCCGGAAGAGGCGAGUGGAAUUCCUGGUGUAGCGGUGAAAUGCGCAGAUAUCAGGAGGAACACCUACGGCGAAGGCAGCUCGCUGGGACGGUACUGACGCUGAGACGCGAAAGCGUGGGGAGCAAACAGG
This 253-nucleotide ribosomal RNA is filed under the name uncultured bacterium. RNAcentral's name for it is "partial 16S ribosomal RNA". It matches the Rfam family "Bacterial small subunit ribosomal RNA", at positions 524 to 776 of the family's 1533-position model. The record is from RNAcentral.